RNAcentral lists this ribosomal RNA (492 nucleotides) under uncultured bacterium. RNAcentral's name for it is "partial 16S ribosomal RNA". It matches the Rfam family "Bacterial small subunit ribosomal RNA", at positions 29 to 507 of the family's 1533-position model. The record is from RNAcentral.
AGUGAACGCUGGCGGUAGGCCUAACACAUGCAAGUCGAACGGCAGCACAGUAAGAGCUUGCUCUUACGGGUGGCGAGUGGCGGACGAGUGAGGAAUACAUCGGAAUCUACUUUUUCGUGGGGGAUAACGUAGGGAAACUUACGCUAAUACCGCAUACGACCUACGGGUGAAAGCAGUGGAUAUUCGGACCUUGCGCGAUUGUAUUAGCCGAUGUCGGGUUAGCUAGUUGGCGGGGUAAAGGCCCACCAAGGCGACGCUCCGUAGCUGGUCUGAGGAGAUGAUCCGCCACACUGGAACUGGGGCACCGUCCCGACUCCUACGGGAAGCAGCAGUGAGGAAUAUUGGACAAUGGGCGCAAGCCUGAUCCAGCCAUACCGCGUGGAUGAAGAAGGCCUUCGGGUUGGAAAACCCUUUUGUUGGGAAAGAAAAGCAGCUGGUUAAAACCCCGCUGUUCUGACGGUACCCAAAUAAGAAGCACCGGCUAACUUCGUG